CCUACGGGAGGCCGCAGUGAGGAAUAUUGGUCAAUGGACGAGAGUCUGAACCAGCCAAGUAGCGUGAAGGAUGACUGCCCUAUGGGUUGUAAACUUCUUUUAGUUGGGAAUAAAAGGGGGCUCGUGAGCCCCGUAUUGUCUGUACCAUCAGAAAAAGGACCGGCUAAUUCCGUGCCAUCAGCCGCGGUAAUACGGCAGGUCCGGGCGUUAUCCGGAUUGAUUGGGUUUAAAGGGAGCGUAGGCCGGCUUCUAAGUCAGCUGUGAAAGUCCGCGGCUCAACCGUGGAAUUGCAGUUGAAACUGGAGGCCUUGAGGGCACACAGGGAUGCCGGAAUUCAUGGUGUAGCGGUGAAAUGCUGAGAUAUCAUGAAGAACUCCGAUCGCGAAGGCAAGUGUCCGGGGUGCAACUGACGCUGAGGCUCGAAAGUGCGGGUAUCAAACAGGAUUAGAGACCCGUGUAGUC
Molecule: ribosomal RNA, 462 nt
Filed under: uncultured bacterium
Lineage: Bacteria
Description: partial 16S ribosomal RNA
Rfam family: Bacterial small subunit ribosomal RNA
Source: RNAcentral